Non-coding RNA from Acanthosepion pharaonis, 107 nucleotides. NCBI's taxonomy places the organism in Eukaryota, Metazoa, Mollusca, Cephalopoda, Sepiida, Sepiidae. The record is from the annotation of a GenBank genome assembly.
CAUAUCAUAUUGAAACACUGGUUCUCAUACGGUCACUGAAGUUAAGCAAUAUUGAGCCUGGUCAGUACCUAGAUGGGUGACUUCUUUGGAAUACCAGGUGCUGUAAG